RNAcentral lists this ribosomal RNA (501 nucleotides) under uncultured bacterium. RNAcentral's name for it is "partial 16S ribosomal RNA". It matches the Rfam family "Bacterial small subunit ribosomal RNA", at positions 30 to 523 of the family's 1533-position model. The record is from RNAcentral.
AUUGAACGCUGGCGGCAGGCUUAACACAUGCAAGUCGAGCGGGGGAAGGUAGCUUGCUACUGGACCUAGCGGCGGACGGGUGAGUAAUGCUUAGGAAUCUGCCUAUUUGUGGGGGACAACAUCUCGAAAGGGAUGCUAAUACCGCAUACGUCCUACGGGAGAAAGCAGGGGAUCUUCGGACCUUGCGCUAAUAGAUGAGCCUAAGUCGGAUUAGCUAGUUGGUGGGGUAAAGGCCUACCAAGGCGACGAUCUGUAGCGGGUCUGAGAGGAUGAUCCGCCACACUUGGACUGAGACACGGCCCAGACUCCUACGGGAGGCAGCAGUGGGGAAUAUUGGACAAUGGGGGGAACCCUGAUCCAGCCAUGCCGCGUGUGUGAAGAAGGCCUUAUGGUUGUAAAGCACUUUAAGCGAGGAGGAGGCUACUUUAGUUAAUACCUAGGGAUAGUGGACGUUACUCGCAGAAUAAGUACCGGCUAACUCUGUGCCAGCAGCCGCCGUAA